Molecule: long non-coding RNA, 406 nt
Organism: Pogoniulus pusillus (Red-fronted tinkerbird)
Lineage: Eukaryota; Metazoa; Chordata; Aves; Piciformes; Lybiidae
Exons: 2
Source: RefSeq, a predicted model, not a curated record
AGCAGACCAGUUUGAUGAAGCAGCCACUUCCACGAGCAAAGAGGAGGUCAUUCAAGCUGACUGGAAUCCACCAUAGUGGUCCCUUAUGGCUUCUGGUGGUGGUGGGUGUUCACUGGAUGGUAUCUACUCCCUUAUGCUUCAUCCAUAGUCAACAGCCAGAGAGGCAUAACAAAUGUGAUUCAUCUCUGCUUAAAAUAAACGUCUCAAGUAGGUGGGCUUCAUCUCCAGUAACUACCACUUCAACUGUGAAAGAAGAGGGGAGGGGAAAAAAAAUCAAUCCAAAGCUGAUGAAAAAGCAUAAACCCAUCCAUAAAAGGGGAUUUAUAAGGGUUUUUCUCUCCUCCCAGAGCAAACUGAAAUGGAAAAUUAGGCUGUGCUUUAUAUCAUUCUCUCUUUCUGGCUGUGU